RNAcentral lists this unclassified non-coding RNA (355 nucleotides) under Mycolicibacterium flavescens. Its description in RNAcentral is "partial 16S-23S ribosomal RNA intergenic spacer region". Lineage: Bacteria; Bacillati; Actinomycetota; Actinomycetes; Mycobacteriales; Mycobacteriaceae. The record is from RNAcentral.
AAGGAGCACCAUUUAUUGUUCCCCCGUCCCCACGUGUGUGGGAUCAGUGCGGUUGGGAGAUCAGUGCCGGGCCUGUAUGGGUUUCCGGUGGGUGCACAACAAACGUGGAAGUGGUGUGGGAACACUGCUUUGAGGAAUCAUCAGACACACUAUUGGGCUUUGAGGCAACAGGCCCGUUGUUUCCCUGGCCACUGUGUGUGGUGGGGGGUCUGGUGUCGCCCUGUCUUUGGUGGUGGGGUGUGGUGUUUGAUUCGUGGAUAUGGUUGCGAGCAUCUGAACAGGUGGCUCCCUUUUGGGGGUUGCUUGUUUUGUAAUGCAAUUUUUUAUUCUUCCGAGAAUAUUUUUCUGUUUUGUG